RNAcentral lists this ribosomal RNA (765 nucleotides) under uncultured Streptococcus sp. RNAcentral describes it as "bacterial SSU rRNA". It matches the Rfam family "Bacterial small subunit ribosomal RNA", at positions 28 to 776 of the family's 1533-position model. Lineage: Bacteria; Bacillati; Bacillota; Bacilli; Lactobacillales; Streptococcaceae. The record is from RNAcentral.
GAUGAACGCAGGCGGCGUGCCUAAUACAUGCAAGUAGAACGCUGAAGCUUGGUGCUUGCACCGAGCGGAUGAGUUGCGAACGGGUGAGUAACGCGUAGGUAACCUGCCUCUUAGCGGGGGAUAACUAUUGGAAACGAUAGCUAAUACCGCAUAAAAGUCGACAUUGCAUGAUGUUGACUUGAAAGGUGCAAUUGCAUCACUAAGAGAUGGACCUGCGUUGUAUUAGCUAGUUGGUGAGGUAACGGCUCACCAAGGCGACGAUACAUAGCCGACCUGAGAGGGUGAUCGGCCACACUGGGACUGAGACACGGCCCAGACUCCUACGGGAGGCAGCAGUAGGGAAUCUUCGGCAAUGGGGGCAACCCUGACCGAGCAACGCCGCGUGAGUGAAGAAGGUUUUCGGAUCGUAAAGCUCUGUUGUAAGAGAAGAACGAGUGUGAGAGUGGAAAGUUCACACUGUGACGGUAACUUACCAGAAAGGGACGGCUAACUACGUGCCAGCAGCCGCGGUAAUACGUAGGUCCCGAGCGUUAUCCGGAUUUAUUGGGCGUAAAGCGAGCGCAGGCGGUUAGAUAAGUCUGAAGUUAAAGGCUGUGGCUUAACCAUAGUACGCUUUGGAAACUGUUUAACUUGAGUGCAGAAGGGGAGAGUGGAAUUCCAUGUGUAGCGGUGAAAUGCGUAGAUAUAUGGAGGAACACCGGUGGCGAAAGCGGCUCUCUGGUCUGUAACUGACGCUGAGGCUCGAAAGCGUGGGGAGCAAACAGG